UAGAGCACUGUUUCGGCUAGGGGGCCAUCCCGGCUUACCAACCCGAUGCAAACUGCGAAUACCGGAGAAUGUUAUCACGGGAGACACACGGCGGGUGCUAACGUCCGUCGUGAAGAGGGAAACAACCCAGACCGCCAGCUAAGGUCCCAAAGUCAUGGUUAAGUGGGAAACGAUGUGGGAAGGCCCAGACAGCCAGGAUGUUGGCUUAGAAGCAGCCAUCAUUUAAAGAAAGCGUAAUAGCUCACUGGUCGAGUCGGCCUGCGCGGAAGAUGUAACGGGGCUAAACCAUGCACCGAAGCUGCGGCAGCGACACUGUGUGUUGUUGGGUAGGGGAGCGUUCUGUAAGCCUGUGAAGGUGUGUCGUGAGGC
Molecule: ribosomal RNA, 369 nt
Filed under: Salmonella enterica
Lineage: Bacteria; Pseudomonadati; Pseudomonadota; Gammaproteobacteria; Enterobacterales; Enterobacteriaceae
Description: partial 23S ribosomal RNA
Rfam family: Bacterial large subunit ribosomal RNA
Source: RNAcentral